CGACAUUCCUUGUGCCUUUCUUCAAAGCCUCACACGCAAUUUCAUGAUUCAAGCUCUUGACCUAAAUUGUCUCAGCAUUUAAUUGAGUAAUAUAUUCUCUCAGAGACUUUUCUUCUUGUUGCUUCACCUUUUGGAGAUCUGAGGAUACUUCAUUGGUGGGAUGCAGGAUAUGAAUUUGUUCUUGAACUCAAUGGCGAGCUG
RNAcentral lists this unclassified non-coding RNA (201 nucleotides) under Hevea brasiliensis (rubber tree). The record is from RNAcentral. Lineage: Eukaryota; Viridiplantae; Streptophyta; Magnoliopsida; Malpighiales; Euphorbiaceae.